RNAcentral lists this ribosomal RNA (397 nucleotides) under uncultured bacterium. RNAcentral describes it as "bacterial SSU rRNA". It matches the Rfam family "Bacterial small subunit ribosomal RNA", at positions 64 to 507 of the family's 1533-position model. The record is from RNAcentral.
GAGCGCCGUAGCAAUACGGAGCGGCAGACGGGAGAGUAACACGUGGGAACGUGCCCUUCAGUCCGGAACAACCCAGGGAAACUUGGGCUAAUACCGGAUACGUCCGUAAGGAGAAAGAUUUAUCGCUGAAGGAUCGGCCCGCGUCUGAUUAGCUAGUUGGUGGGGUAAAGGCCCACCAAGGCGACGAUCAGUAGCUGGUCUGAGAGGAUGAUCAGCCUCACUGGGACUGAGACACGGCCCAGACUCCUACGGGAGGCAGCAGUGGGGAAUAUUGGACAAUGGGCGCAAGCCUGAUCCAGCCAUGCCGCGUGGGUGAUGAAGGCCCUAGGGUUGUAAAGCCCUUUCGGCGGGGAAGAUAAUGACGGUACCCGCAGAAGAAGCCCCGGCUAACUUCGUG